This 497-nucleotide ribosomal RNA is filed under the name uncultured bacterium. RNAcentral's name for it is "partial 16S ribosomal RNA". It matches the Rfam family "Bacterial small subunit ribosomal RNA", at positions 28 to 507 of the family's 1533-position model. The record is from RNAcentral.
GAUGAACGCUGGCGGCGUGCCUAAUACAUGCAAGUCGAGCGAACAGACGAGGCGCUUGUUCCUCUGACGUUAGCGGCGGACGGGUGAGUAACACGUGGAUAACCUCCCUAUCAUACUGGUAUCACUUCGGGAAACCGGCGCUAAUCCCGUAUAAUAUCUUGCAGCGUAUUGUUCAUUAGUGAAAUUCGGUUUUUCUGUCUCUUAUCGCUGGAUCCGCGCCGCAUUAGCUAGUUGGUACGGUAACGGCUUACCACGGCGACGAUGCGUAGCCGACCUGAGAGGGGGAUCGCCCACACGAGAGCUGGGACACGGUCAAGACGCCUACGGGAGGCAGCAGUAGGGAAUGUGACGCAGUGGGCGAAAGCAUGACGGAGCAACGCGGCGUGAGUGAUGAAGGUCUUCGGAUCGUAAUACUCGGUUAUGAGGGAAGAACAAAUGUGUAAGUAACUAUGCACGGCUUGACGGUACCUAAUCAGAAAGCAACGGCUAACUACGUG